Molecule: transfer RNA, 65 nt
Filed under: Physoderes impexa
Lineage: Eukaryota; Metazoa; Arthropoda; Insecta; Hemiptera; Reduviidae
Description: tRNA-Leu
Source: RNAcentral
CUUAAUGUGGCAGAUUAAUGCAAUGAAUUUAAGCUUCAUGCAAGAAAAUACAUUUUCCAUUAAGA